RNAcentral lists this ribosomal RNA (396 nucleotides) under uncultured bacterium. Its description in RNAcentral is "partial 16S ribosomal RNA". It matches the Rfam family "Bacterial small subunit ribosomal RNA", at positions 523 to 918 of the family's 1533-position model. The record is from RNAcentral.
AUACGUAGGUGGCAAGCGUUGUCCGGAAUUACUGGGUGUAAAGGGAGCGCAGGCGGGCGUGCAAGUCAGCUGUGAAAUCCAUGGGCUUAACCCGUGGGCUGCAGUUGAAACUGUAUGUCUUGAGUGAAGUAGAGGUAGGCGGGAUUCCGAGUGUAGCGGUAAAAUGCGUAGAUAUUCGGAGGAACACCGGUGGCGAAGGCGGCCUACUGGGCUUUAACUGACGCUGAGGCUCGAAAGUGUGGGGAGCAAACAGGAUUAGAUACCCUGGUAGUCCACACUGUAAACGAUGAUUGCUAGGUGUGGGGGGUCUGACCCCUUCCGUGCCGCAGUUAACGCAAUAAGCAAUCCACCUGGGGAGUACGGCCGCAAGGCUAAAACUCAAAUGAAUUGACGGGG